GGGUAUAGUUCAGUGGUAGAGUGCAUGCUUAGCAUGCAUGAGGCCCUAGGUUCAAUUCUCCAGUACCACCA
This 71-nucleotide transfer RNA is filed under the name Camelus bactrianus (Bactrian camel). It matches the Rfam family "tRNA". From Rfam's summary of the family: Transfer RNA (tRNA) molecules are approximately 80 nucleotides in length. Their secondary structure includes four short double-helical elements and three loops (D, anti-codon, and T loops). The record is from Rfam by way of RNAcentral. RNAcentral also lists the same sequence under 2 other names. Lineage: Eukaryota; Metazoa; Chordata; Mammalia; Artiodactyla; Camelidae.